AUUGUUCGCAAUGGGCGCAAGCCUGACGACGCAACGCCGCGUGGAGGAUGAAGAUCUUCGGGUCGUAAACUCCUGUCGACCGGGACGAAUGCCGCGUGGGUGAAUAACCUGCGCGGGUAACGGUACCGGUGGAGGAAGCCCCGGCUAACUCCGUGCCAGCAGCCGCGGUAAUACGGGGGGGGCAAGCGUUGUUCGGAAUUACUGGGCGUAAAGGGCUCGUAGGCGGCCAACUCAGUCGGACGUGAAAUCCCUCGGCUUAACCGGGGAACGGCGUCCGAUACUGGAUGGCUUGAAUCCGAGAGAGGGAUGCGGAAUUCCAGGUGUAGCGGUGAAAUGCGUAGAUAUCUGGAGGAACACCGGUGGCGAAGGCGGCAUCCUGGAUUGGUAUUGACGCUGAGGAGCGAAAGCUAGGGGAGCAAAC
RNAcentral lists this ribosomal RNA (421 nucleotides) under uncultured bacterium. RNAcentral describes it as "bacterial SSU rRNA". It matches the Rfam family "Bacterial small subunit ribosomal RNA", at positions 361 to 773 of the family's 1533-position model. The record is from RNAcentral.